RNAcentral lists this ribosomal RNA (481 nucleotides) under uncultured bacterium. RNAcentral's name for it is "partial 16S ribosomal RNA". It matches the Rfam family "Bacterial small subunit ribosomal RNA", at positions 30 to 507 of the family's 1533-position model. The record is from RNAcentral.
UUGAACGCUGGCGGCAUGCUUUACACAUGCAAGUCGAACGGCAGCGCGGGGCAACCUGGCGGCGAGUGGCGAACGGGUGAGUAAUAUAUCGGAACGUACCCAGAAGUGGGGGAUAACGUAGCGAAAGUUACGCUAAUACCGCAUACGAUCUACGGAUGAAAGUAGGGGACCGCAAGGCCUUAUGCUUUUGGAGCGGCCGAUAUCUGAUUAGCUAGUUGGUGAGGUAAAGGCUCACCAAGGCGACGAUCAGUAGCUGGUCUGAGAGGACGACCAGCCACACUGGAACUGAGACACGGUCCAGACUCCUACGGGAGGCAGCAGUGGGGAAUUUUGGACAAUGGGCGCAAGCCUGAUCCAGCAAUGCCGCGUGAGUGAAGAAGGCCUUCGGGUUGUAAAGCUCUUUUGUCAGGGAAGAAACGGUAGAGGCUAAUAUCCUUUGCUAAUGACGGUACCUGAAGAAUAAGCACCGGCUAACUACGUG